UUUAUUUCCUAUCAGAACACCUCUCAGCGACGUGAGCAUUCUCUCUCCAUGACUCUUCAAUUCCUGUCCGUUCUGAUUCUCCUCUCGGCGAAGCUAGGGUUUCCUACUUUCCGGUUUGCCGGUCUCGUCGUCGUCGGUGUGGUGGUUUCCGCGUCGGCUGGUGGUUAAUAUGGCUGGUUCUUCUUGAAGGGGUUCUAAUCGGCGAAAGGGAGGUGAUUCGAAUUCUUCUCGAGGGAGGACAAGAGGCCAGUCCAUGUGAGUUAUCAUGUGGGAAAUGCAGUUGGCAAGAGAUUGAUUAUGGUGAUGCCUUCACCUGGGGAUAGAUUGUGAAGAACAUUGAUGGUCAGCCUUCCAGAACACCAGAUUUCUAUCCUUUCUCAAGAUCAAGCUAUUGUUGAACUGAAUCCAAUAAUGCUCAUCAGUGGGAAAAGAUAAGCUAACAUACAACUUCAUUCGUUUUGCGAUUUGUUGUUUGCUUAUGGUAUUUAUAUGUUUUACAGGUUUGAUUGUAUUUUCAUAAGAAUACAGACUUC
Ipomoea nil (Japanese morning glory) is the source of this 533-nucleotide long non-coding RNA. RefSeq lists it as uncharacterized. NCBI's taxonomy places the organism in Eukaryota, Viridiplantae, Streptophyta, Magnoliopsida, Solanales, Convolvulaceae. The transcript is spliced from 2 exons. The record is from RefSeq and is a predicted model, not a curated record.